UCCAAAUUUUUUGGGUUUUUUUUUUUCUAUUCAUGUGAAGGUUCCUUUUGAGUUGUGAAGUUUAAGGUAUGCCCUCUCCUUUUGAAAUUGUGAUUGAAGUAUAUAGACAGACAUGUUUCAGCCCCUAUCAAAUAUACAUAAGAAACUUGACGUUUUCUUAUAAUUUUGUAGAUAAUAUUUUUCUUAAAUAAAAUAUUAUAUACAUUUUCCUUCAUACUACUUUUCUCAUUCACAUUUUCUAUCACUGAUGCUGGUCACUUCUUGGUAAUUUUGCAGGACUACAGUAGAAAUUGGCCAUAAUUUUUCUUUGUAUGUAGAAGCAGGGAACUCAUCUUCACUAUUGUCAAUAUGUCUAAUCAUUAGGCGCUGGUCACUUUUUCAUGUUUUUCAUGUUUCAGUCACUUUCACAUCCUCCUGCAGCCGCAUCAGUGGUGACGAGGAUGAGGAUAUGAAAGUUGGCUGAGAUAUGAAAACAUGAAAGUGAAUACAAACACACCAAUGGCCAUACAUGAACCGACCACCAUGGUAAAAAUUAACCACCAAAUUGGUUAAGCAGUGUGAAGAUCUCAAAGUGAAGUACAAUGAAGAGAUGACAGAGAGAAAAAAGCUCUUCAAUGAACUUCAAGAGUCUAAAGGGAACAUUAGGGUUUUCUGCCGUUGCCGCUGGCUGUACUAGUUUUGGAUUUUGGUGCAGCAAAGGAUGGAAUUUUGACAACUAGUAUGUCAAAAAAAACAAUUCAGAUUUGACAGAGUUUAUACAUCAAAAGAUCGUCAAAUUGAUGUUUUUGCUGAUGCCUCAUCAAUGGUAACAUCUGUGUUGGACGGCUACAAUGUAUGCAUAUUUGCUUAUGGACCAACAGGAACAGGAAAGACAUUUACCAUGGAGGGAACAGAGCUGAAUAGAGGAGUAAAUUAUAGGACUAUAUAAAAUUAAAAUAUUACAUAAAGAGAACGUAAAAAAUUCAAUUAUCAUACAAUAAUAAAAUUAAAAGAGUACGUAAAGAGUACAUAGAAAAUAUAUAAAAAUAAAAAAUAUUGUUAUAUAUUUUUUAUUGAAAAAUUAUAAAAAUAAAAUUGAAAUUUAUAAACUAAAGAACUUGAAGGCCAGAUUGAGUUGAAAACAUCCAUGCAAAACCAGUCAGAAAAACAAGGAGAAAUUGAAAAUAAAAGAAGAAACCUGCAAAAAGCAGGAAGAAAGGAUGAAGGAGCUCGAGAACAAACUUAAAGAGUAGGAACAGAGCUCAGUUAUGCUUUGUCAGCAGAUGAAGGAACAAGAGUGGCAAAGAAAGGCCACAGCCGACGCGGCCAGGAGCUUGACAUGCUCUGUGCCCGCUCAAAGGCUGUGGUCAUCGAUGCCACGAACAACUGCUCCUUUUUACAGCAGAAGUUCCUGGACCUCGCAUCGGAGGUAUUCGCCGUACAACUCUUUAUCUCCGAAGUCAAACAAUCAAUUGCAACUGGUGAGAAGAGUUCGGAUUCCCCAUGUCAUAGGGAUCUGAAUCCCCUGGAGUUAGUGAAUCCUUGGAGCUAGUGAUGGGCAAUCUUUUGCAACUGCAGAAGCUAGCUUCUCAACUCCUGUUCGAGUGCUGCAAGCUACUACCCAGGGCAGGACAGUUACAUCUAGAGGACGUGGAUGUCUGGCAAGACCUCCAAGGCGAACUAACGGAUUGUAAAUAAUAAUCUUAAUACAUAAGACUAUUAUUUUGUUGAUCACAUCUACUUCCAAAGUAUUAUGUAAAUACAUACGAAAGUAUUAUUUUUAUAUGAAUUUAAUUUUGAUGUAUUUACAGAUUACAGUGUAAAAUAUUUUAAACCCUAAACCCU
Long non-coding RNA from Arachis stenosperma, 1824 nucleotides. RefSeq lists it as uncharacterized. The record is from RefSeq and is a predicted model, not a curated record. Lineage: Eukaryota; Viridiplantae; Streptophyta; Magnoliopsida; Fabales; Fabaceae. The transcript has 6 exons.